AGGAAGCAUCCUUUUCAGAAUCAGACCCUUUUCUGCCGAGUCCUUUUUUACAUUUACAUUGUUGCAUGAACCUUGUUUUAAUACCAAUACAUAAUUCAUAUGAAUCGAAUGCAUGCUGAACUACAGUUAUUAAAAAGCCACUUUAAAAUUAAAUAUUUUUAAAUGAGCUUAUUUUUCUUUGCAGAAAAUGGCAACGUCCCCCAACAACAGCUUCACUGAUGAAAAGAGGGAUUCAGCCAAGGAUCAGGCUGACGAACAUUUCAGACUAGUUCAAGCCAGGCUGCAUCUACCUCCCGGGAGAGUAGAACACAAGCCUUGGGUCUCUACUCCAGUUGUUUGCUCUGUGAAGACAGGAUUUCUCAAGUACACUGAUCAAAAAGGGGAAAAACACUUUCCCAUCUCCUGUGCUGGACUGCCUGGAUGAUGCACCCUGGUGUUGUGUCAACAGAAGCAAAGUACAAUAUGUUCCUGAAAGACAGAAAAAAAAUGCACUCUCUCUCUGGUCUGACAGGUCUGCUAAUCUUCCCUUGCAAAUCCACUUUGACCUUCAUCAUUCUGAUACGAGGGCUAUGUCUACACUGAGAUCCAGAAGUGUGAUUGCAACUGAUGGCCAGAUGUUAGUUAGCUUUGGACUAGCUCUUGCAGACACUGGGAGCAGUCUGCCUAUAGUAGCUCUGUGCAAUCAGGAAAGCAGUACUUUGUUGCUGAAGCAUGUGUUGCAGCAGUUGCUUUGUUGUUGGUGCUAGUACAGAGCUAACCCAGGUACGAUUUGCCAAGCUGCAGUCUCGUCUCUGGAUUGCAGUGUCGAUGCCUCCUUGGCAAUCAUGAGACCACUGUUAAGGAACAAGCCCUCACUCAGCCCACUUGCUCCCAUUCUGUACACGCUGCUUGCUGUGUUGGUGCAGCACCAGGAGUGCUCUCAGGAGUGCCUCAUAGUGGGGCUGCAUGUCCUUGGCAUUCCUGGAGCAGCAACCAUAUAGCCUGAUUUCAGCAUUUGGAGUGUGCAGUGUAGGAGUCAGUGCAGGGCCCUGUUUUGGGGCUCUUAGUUACUCCCCAGGAGAAACUGACUGAUCUGUUUAAUUUGCAAGUCUUCAGCUUUGUUCCUUUUGUGAUAUAUCACAAAUCUUUUGGUCAAAACACAUGGCAAGUGUUGAUCAAGUGCAUCUGAUGCAUGCUGACAAGCACAACAGAAACAACAUCUUCUCAUCAACAUGAAACAGGAGAUUGGAGGUGGAAUAGGAUACUCAAAAAAACAAACCUGUGGGACAAAAAAAA
This is a long non-coding RNA of Gavialis gangeticus (Gharial), 1275 nucleotides long. RefSeq lists it as uncharacterized. The record is from RefSeq and is a predicted model, not a curated record. NCBI's taxonomy places the organism in Eukaryota, Metazoa, Chordata, Crocodylia, Gavialidae. The transcript is spliced from 3 exons.